CUCUGCCCGCCCCGUCCAUCUCUACUCGGGGGAGGCACGAAGCUGUGCUGAGCGCAGCACAUUCCGGGCCGGGGGGGGGGGGGAGUGUGAGUGCAUCCAUCGGCACCUCGGCUGUCCAACGCGGCGGUGUGAGGGCGGUGACGCCGUGUUGCAGCCCGACCGCCGCGAUGGCCGCAGGGUGCCGACCCGCGUCCCCGUGGGGCUAUCAGCGCUUCGCCGGGGCGUACACGUUCCUGGAGAAGCGCAUCGUGGCGGAGCUGACCCCCCCCCGGCCCCGCGUUGUCCCCCCCCAGGACUUCACUUCCCACCCCUCCCGGCUCCGUCCCCUCCCCGUGGAACCGCACUACGGCCCCCCCCCCGGAGCGGCACCCACCGGGGGGUCCCCUCUGCGCCCCAUUAACGGCAGCCAGGCCGGGCCCCCCCAGCUACGAGACCCACAUGCGGAGAGCGCGGGCGGCCCACCUGCGCCGGGGGGGGCCGCCCCCAUACGUCUCCCCCCCCGCCUACAACGCUCCGCACCGCACCCUGCGCCCCCCCCCGG
This 541-nucleotide long non-coding RNA is filed under the name Gallus gallus (chicken). RNAcentral describes it as "lncRNA (ENSGALG00010025850.1)". Lineage: Eukaryota; Metazoa; Chordata; Aves; Galliformes; Phasianidae. The record is from RNAcentral.